GUAGGUUACGGGGAUAUGGCACCCAAAACAUAUGCUGGUAUGUUCGUGGGUGCUUUGUGUGCGCUAGCUGGAGUGCUAACCAUCGCGCUGCCCGUGCCUGUUAUUGUCUCAAAC
This is a non-coding RNA of Stegodyphus mimosarum, 114 nucleotides long. The record is from Rfam. Lineage: Eukaryota; Metazoa; Arthropoda; Arachnida; Araneae; Eresidae.